Cinara cedri is the source of this 1522-nucleotide non-coding RNA. The record is from the annotation of a GenBank genome assembly. NCBI's taxonomy places the organism in Eukaryota, Metazoa, Arthropoda, Insecta, Hemiptera, Aphididae.
ACAGAAUUAGAACUGGUGUGGGAGGCUAUAAUGACAAUAUGAAGGCAUGAAGACUACUGGGUGAAAAAAAUUAGACAUGCUCGUGCGGCCAAGAGUAAAAUAUGACCCACUUACUUAGGUGUCCAAAUAGCAUACACACUACACUUGUGGGUGGACUGACUCUGGAGCAUGCCACAUAAAUGAGUCUCUGGGAAAAAUAAUCUUCUCUUACGUCGAACCCUAUAAUUUUUAAGAUUUGAUCUUGGGAUUUAUUUAUUGUCAUAGCAAAACAUUCGUUGACAGGAAACUGCAUUCUUUUUAAUUGGAAUGGAUAAUCUGAUGGUACCAUUGGUAUACGAGGAAUAAAAACUAAUUCAUCUUUUGCAGAUGCAGUAAUAAUUUCAGCUUCUAUCAGAAUUUCUGAGGAUCAGUUAUACAUAGACGUUUCUCAAUAUUGGAGGGUUAGAUUUCUUAAAAGCAUUAUAGGAGUACCAAUUUUUGCUUUUAAUAAAUGUGGUGGAAACCCUGGAGGGAUGAACGAAUUGAGAAAUUCAACUUCAUAAUUAACUGCAUCAUCUACUACCAAUAGUGAAUUCACUGAUCUAUAUUCCAUAUUUUUUGCUUGGAAAGAGUCCAAUAAUAUUUUAUUUAUUUCUCCUGUUACAUCAUUUUUUUAAUGUCAAAAUGCCCCUUUCACAUAACCAGUCCAAUGAUAUUUCUUUGAGGUUUUCAAUUCCAGGAUAUAUUUUAUCAGUAAGUUCAUUUAAAGUUUUUACAUUAGUACCUAUUCUUGUAGACAAAUUAAUUUUUUCUUUACGUUCUGAAUAUUUUCUAUCUCUUGUUUUUAAGAGUAGCCCAAAAAACUUCAGCAGUCCUGUUUCCUUUUAAAUGUAUUCGCAUUUAUUUUUGUUAAUGAAAAUUUUUCUGUUUGAAGGCCACGCAUAUGAAAACUUUAUGUUUGCUUCAAUUUCAUUAAAGUUCUUCGAGUUCCUCUAGAUACGACUAGUAGUGUUUGUCGAAAAUCUCCAGCUAGCAAUACUUUGACUCCUCCCAUCAAUAAAUUUUAAUUAUUCAGAUUCUUCAGACUGUUGUUUAAAACCUCGAACACAUUCUUUUGGGACAUAGGACUUUCAUUCCAAACUAUGAGCUUGUAUUCUUUCAGACCUUUCACCAUAUUAGAUUGUUUAAUAAUAUUAUACGUUGAAGUAUCAAUGUUGUUUAGAUUGAAUGGUGACUUGAAAGCAGAAUGAGUAACUUUUCCGCCAUGUAAAAUGGAGCAGAAAUUCCUGAUGAUGCAGCAGCAAUUUCGAUCCUAUAUGAGUUUCUUACUUUAAUCAGAAGUACAUUGUUUAAGUGGGUAUUACAAGUUCCACUAGGAUCAUUUAAAAAUAUAAUUUUGCCUUAAUUUAAUUUGAUACUAUUCAGUGUUUCUUUGUAAACAAACUACUGUUCCUCAAUCAAAGAUGUUUUAUUUUGCAAAACAAUUUCGUAUAAAGCAUUUAAAUCAUAGAUUGUUUCUUUUAAAUAUUCUCUAUUGUCUAAC